AAGUCGUAACAAGGUCUCCGUAGGUGAACCUGCGGAGGGAUCAUUAACACUUUUUCUUAGGAAAGAGCUUAACACUCUUUUCUUUUACCAACCGUGAACUAACUUAUGCCCCCGAUUAGUCUAUGCUAACCUUUGGGUUAGUUAGGCUAGUCCAUUUUUUUCUAUUGUUAUUUCAAACCUUUUAUCCAACUACUAACACUAUAGCCAUACAGUACUUUUUUACCUAGUUUUUCUAUGUAAUAUCGUACAGUGAAUAUAGUAAAGUAACUAACAGCACAACUCUUAGCAACGGAUAUCUCGGUUCUC
Molecule: unclassified non-coding RNA, 306 nt
Filed under: fungal sp.
Lineage: Eukaryota; Fungi
Description: partial internal transcribed spacer region
Rfam family: Eukaryotic small subunit ribosomal RNA (bases 1-46)
Source: RNAcentral